This 405-nucleotide ribosomal RNA is filed under the name uncultured bacterium. RNAcentral's name for it is "bacterial SSU rRNA". It matches the Rfam family "Bacterial small subunit ribosomal RNA", at positions 28 to 417 of the family's 1533-position model. The record is from RNAcentral.
GACGAACGCUGACGGCGUGCUUUAGACAUGCAAGUCGAACGAGAAAGCCCCUUCGGGGCGGAGUAAAGUGGCGAACGGGUGAGUAACACGUGGGCAACCUGCCCCUCCGCUCUGGGGAAGUAACCCGGGGAAACCCGGGCCGUAAUACCCCGUACCGCUUGCUGGAUCGCAUGAUCCGGCAAGGAAAGGUAGCUUCGGCCAUCCGGCGAGGGAUGGGCCCGCGGUGCAUUAGCUAGUUGGUGAGGUAACGGCUCACCAAGGCGACGAUGCAUAGCUGGUCUGAGAGGAUGAUCAGCCACACUGGGACUGAGACACGGCCCAGACUCCUACGGGAGGCAGCAGUCGGGAAUCUUGCGCAAUGGGCGAAAGCCUGACGCAGCAACGCCGUGUGGGCGAGGAAGGCCU